Molecule: ribosomal RNA, 253 nt
Filed under: uncultured bacterium
Lineage: Bacteria
Description: partial 16S ribosomal RNA
Rfam family: Bacterial small subunit ribosomal RNA
Source: RNAcentral
UACGGAGGGUGCAACCGUUGCUCGGAAUCAUUGGGCGUAAAGCGCACGUAGGCGGCUCGUUAAGUCGGAUGUGAAAGCCCCGGGCUCAACUCGGGAAGUGCAUUCGAAACUGGCGAGCUUGAAUAUGGAAGAGGGUCGCGGAAUUCCCGGUGUAGAGGUGAAAUUCGUAGAUAUCGGGAGGAACACCAGUGGCGAAGGCGGCGACCUGGGCCAAUAUUGACGCUGAGGUGCGAAAGCGUGGGGAGCAAACAGG